Molecule: ribosomal RNA, 432 nt
Filed under: uncultured bacterium
Lineage: Bacteria
Description: partial 16S ribosomal RNA
Rfam family: Bacterial small subunit ribosomal RNA
Source: RNAcentral
AACGAACGCUGGCGGCAUGCCUAACACAUGCAAGUCGAACGAGACCUUCGGGUCUAGUGGCGCACGGGUGCGUAACGCGUGGUAACCUGCCCUUAGGUUCGGAAUAACUCCCCGAAAGGGGUGCUAAUACCGCAUAAUGUCUUCGGACCAAGGAUUUAUCGCCUUUUGAUGGGCCCGCGUUGGAUUAGCUAGUUGGUAGGGUAAAAGCCUACCAAGGCGCCGAUCCAGAGCUGGUCGGAGAGGAUGAUCAGCCACACUGGGACUGGGACACGGCCCAGACUCCUACGGGAGGCAGCAGGGGGGAAUAUUGGACAAGGGGCGAAAGCCUGAACCAGCGCGGCCGCGAGAGUGAUGAAGGCCUUAGGGUUGUAAAGCUCUUUUACCCGGGAUGAUAAUGACAGUACCGGGAGAAUAAGCUCCGGUUACUUCCGU